CUCCCCGCUGACGAGCGGCGGACGGGUGAGUAAUGCAUAGGAAACUGCCCAGUAGUGGGGGAUAGCCCGGGGAAACCCGGAUUAAUACCGCAUACGCCCUUUGGGGGAAAGCAGGGGAUCUUCGGACCUUGCGCUAUUGGAUGUGCCUAUGUCGGAUUAGCUAGUUGGUGGGGUAAGAGCCUACCAAGGCGACGAUCCGUAGCUGGUCUGAGAGGAUGAUCAGCCACAUCGGGACUGAGACACGGCCCGAACUCCUACGGGAGGCAGCAGUGGGGAAUAUUGGACAAUGGGGGCAACCCUGAUCCAGCCAUGCCGCGUGUGUGAAGAAGGCUUUCGGGUUGUAAAGCACUUUCAGUGAGGAGGAAAACCUUACGACUAAUACUCGUGAGGCUUGACGUUACUCACAGAAGAAGCACCGGCUAACUCCGUGCCAGCAGCCGCGGUAAUACGGAGGGUGCAAGCGUUAAUCGGAAUUACUGGGCGUAAAGCGCGCGUAGGUGGUUUGAUAAGCGAGAUGUGAAAGCCCCGGGCUCAACCUGGGAACGGCAUUUCGAACUGUCAGGCUAGAGUAUGGUAGAGGAGUGUGGAAUUUCCUGUGU
RNAcentral lists this ribosomal RNA (599 nucleotides) under Marinobacter algicola. Its description in RNAcentral is "bacterial SSU rRNA". It matches the Rfam family "Bacterial small subunit ribosomal RNA", at positions 81 to 676 of the family's 1533-position model. The record is from RNAcentral. Lineage: Bacteria; Pseudomonadati; Pseudomonadota; Gammaproteobacteria; Pseudomonadales; Marinobacteraceae.